RNAcentral lists this ribosomal RNA (482 nucleotides) under uncultured bacterium. Its description in RNAcentral is "partial 16S ribosomal RNA". It matches the Rfam family "Bacterial small subunit ribosomal RNA", at positions 28 to 523 of the family's 1533-position model. The record is from RNAcentral.
AGUGAACGUUGGCGGCGUGGAUUAGGCAUGCGAGUCGAGCGAGAACCGUAGCAAUACGGGGACAGCGGCGAAAGGGACAGUAAUAUGUAGGUACCUACCCUCGGGUCCGGGAUAGCUGCGGGAAACUGCAGGUAAUACCGGAUGACAUCUCCGGAUCAAAGGUGUGAUUCCGCCCGGGGAGGGGCCUGCAUCCUAUUAGCUUGUUGGUGGGGUAACGGCCUACCAAGGCGACGAUGGGUAGCGGGUGUGAGAGCAUGACCCGCGUCAUUGGGACUGAGACACUGCCCAGACACCUACGGGUGGCUGCAGUCGAGAAUCUUCGGCAAUGGGGGCAACCCUGACCGAGCGACGCCGCGUGCGGGAUGAAGGCCUUCGGGUUGUAAACCGCUGUCGUAGAGGAGGAAAUGCAGGGGGGUUCUCCCCUCUGUUUGACCUAUUCUAGGAGGAAGGACGGGCUAAGUUCGUGCCAGCAGCCGCAGUAA